CCGCCUAGAGGUGGCGGUUUUAGGGGGGGUAGAGACGGGGGACGCGGUGGUCGCGGCGGCGGUUCUCGUGGUCGCGGUUUUGGCGGUCGCGGUGGUGGUGGUGGGUUUCGUGACGAGGGACCUCCUUCUGAAGUCGUCGAAGUUUCCACUUUUCUUCAUGCCUGUGAGGGUGAUGCUGUGACAAAGCUCACCAAUGAGAAAAUACCAUACUUCAAUGCCCCAAUCUUUCUACAAAACAAGACCCAGAUAGG
RNAcentral lists this unclassified non-coding RNA (251 nucleotides) under Hevea brasiliensis (rubber tree). Lineage: Eukaryota; Viridiplantae; Streptophyta; Magnoliopsida; Malpighiales; Euphorbiaceae. The record is from RNAcentral.